CCGCCCCUGGCUCGUGACUGGGGGCGCUCACGCGGCCCUCACGCGGCCCUCACGUGGCCCUCACGUGGCCGCGCGCGCCCCCUUAGAACCGAGGCGCGUGCGGCGCUCUCAGGUGCGCGGCGGGAAAGUCUGGUCCCUCAGGCGCGCGCGGCUGCCCUCAGGGCGCGGCGGGAAAGUCUGGUCCCUCACAUCCCGUGAUCCCUGGGGCUCCGGCUGGUUCUUGUCGCUGCAACUGUUAGUUGGCUCUUGGUGUAAUUGAUGGACACUGCCAGUUGCUUAGACAGAUGGGAAUUAACACUGGUGUUCCCAUUAGAACUUGCCAUCACAGUCACGUUGGCUUUGGUCUCCUGCACUGGGUUGAUGUGUGCAAGAGAGUGCAUGUGGAAGGAGCAAGCGUAACUCCUGCCUGCAGUACUCGCCUUCCAGGGUAUUGGAGCCAUCCAUCCAACACAGAGCAGACGAGCUGCUUGCCAGUUUGCAGAACACAUGGCUUUGAGAUGGUGAGGAAAAUGCUUCUUUGCUGGAUGCUGAGAGAUUGCAGUGAGCGGGACUCUCAUCCCUGGAGGCAUCUGUAAGCUGUACUUACAGGUAGGCUGACAGAAGACACAGCAGCUCAGCUGGUGGGGCCACUGUCCCUAUGCGCUGGUUUGUUGGCUCCAUGCAGGGCAGGUCAUGCGCACACACAGUGCCCUCUCCUCCUCCCAAGUCUCCUGCCAUCAAAUCCAUGCCUGAUGCUCAGACCCAGCAGGU
RNAcentral lists this long non-coding RNA (750 nucleotides) under Corvus moneduloides (New Caledonian crow). RNAcentral describes it as "lncRNA (ENSCMUG00000001249.2)". The record is from RNAcentral. Lineage: Eukaryota; Metazoa; Chordata; Aves; Passeriformes; Corvidae.